This 468-nucleotide ribosomal RNA is filed under the name uncultured bacterium. RNAcentral describes it as "partial 16S ribosomal RNA". It matches the Rfam family "Bacterial small subunit ribosomal RNA", at positions 28 to 507 of the family's 1533-position model. The record is from RNAcentral.
GACGAACGCUGGCGGCGUGCUUAACACAUGCAAGUCGAACGGAAAGGCCCUGCUUUUGUGGGGUGCUCGAGUGGCGAACGGGUGAGUAACACGUGAGUAACCUGCCCUUGACUUUGGGAUAACUUCAGGAAACUGGGGCUAAUACCGGAUAGGAGCUCCUGCUGCAUGGUGGGGGUUGGAAAGUUUCGGCGGUUGGGGAUGGACUCGCGGCUUAUCAGCUUGUUGGUGGGGUAGUGGCUUACCAAGGCUUUGACGGGUAGCCGGCCUGAGAGGGUGACCGGCCACAUUGGGCCUGCGAUACGGCCCAGACUCCUACGGGAGGCAGCGGUGGGGAAUAUUGCACAAUGGGCGGAAGCCUGAGGCAGCAACGCCGCGUGCGGGAUGACGGCCUUCGGGUUGUAAACCGCUUUCGCCUGUGACGAAGCGUGAGUGACGGUAAUGGGUAAAGAAGCACCGGCUAACUACGUG